UAUAGGUUGGUGCAAAAGUAAUUGCGGUUUUUGCCAUUGAAAGUAAUGGCAAAAACCGCAAUUACUUUUGCACCAAUCUAAUA
Molecule: microRNA precursor, 83 nt
Organism: Pan troglodytes (chimpanzee)
Lineage: Eukaryota; Metazoa; Chordata; Mammalia; Primates; Hominidae
Rfam family: mir-548 microRNA precursor family
Source: Rfam